Phoenix dactylifera (date palm) is the source of this 1124-nucleotide non-coding RNA. Lineage: Eukaryota; Viridiplantae; Streptophyta; Magnoliopsida; Arecales; Arecaceae. The record is from RefSeq and is a predicted model, not a curated record.
GAGAGGGAGGGAGGAACCAAGACGUUGUAGCAGGCGUCUUCUUGCAAUCAGGAAGACGGGAAGUCUUAGAUGGAGAAGACGUGAAACACCAUCCGUUGCUGCGAGCUCUGGAGAGCGCAGGAGAAUCAAGAAGACGUGAAUUCCAGAACAAGAAGACGGUGGAUGGAGGGCCGUUGUCCUUUGGAGCUUCGUCACCCAGGCCGACGCCCCUUGGAAAGAACCCCACAUUCCAGGUUAGGCUGGAAAUUUCUUUUUGAUUGCUACUACUUCAUAUUUCUUUGUUUACCAGGGCACGUUAUCCAAUUUCAUUCCGGUGAGCAUGCGGGGACAGACGCAGAAAGUUGUAUUGUACAUUUUGAUUGCUUCUAUCAUGAUGCUUGGUUACCAAAAUUCAUGGUUCCCUGACUGAUUCAAUAGCUAUUACCAGACAAAUUAAUGAUUUCAGACUCGUGUCAGCUUAUGACUUCUUAAACUCCAAUAAGAACAACAUCAUGCAUGCGACCUACUAUUGCAAUGUUGUUUGUUCCACCUGCAAUUAAUUUGGUGAGCACACCCUUAGAAGUGAAUCAGAAUCAUUCAAAAUUUUCUUCUUAGGUUGUAUUACCGUCUUCUUUUUCAUACCAAUGUUUCUUAUUUAUAUCAGAAUUCUUAGAGCUUUUGAGCAGGCAGAUGGGCUAUGACAUCCAGUUUGAUUCUUGGCUAAGGCAUUGUAGAGUUGCGGAUUCCAUUGAUUCUCUUGCUGCCUGCCACCCUUCCUCCUAAUGAAUGGCUAACCACUAGAGCCCAAAAGGCUUAAACUUUUACGGAAGGGGUCGGGUCUUAAACACCUCUUCUCGUGUACCGCUCGGACCAUGCACCUGAAGGCAUAAGUUAGUGAAGAAUGACUCAAGAUAACAAGUCAACAAAGAUUCAAGCUAACCAUCCAGAAAGAGCCAAGGAAAGGAAAGACUCCAGAUAACGAACUAGUGAUCGAUAUAAAGAAAAAACUUGUUUAUUCUUGCUUGUGUGUUCUAAAUGGUCAUAUAGCCUUCUUGAAAUCCCGGCUCAGCUAAUUGGUCAUACGGACUCGUGCUUUGUAAACUUUCUUUAGAUAUUUAGUGAUUUUUCUUCAGAUUUUCAAUACA